Long non-coding RNA from Canis lupus familiaris (dog), 1018 nucleotides. RefSeq lists it as uncharacterized. Lineage: Eukaryota; Metazoa; Chordata; Mammalia; Carnivora; Canidae. The transcript is spliced from 5 exons. The record is from RefSeq and is a predicted model, not a curated record.
UGUGGGCUGUCCCUGCGGGUCAGGGGCCUAUAAGUCAUCCUCUAGUGGGCUCUCAAUGCGACUUCCCUACCCUGAUCAUCCUGUGCUGCACUCAUCUCCUUAUUGUCUUCUCUUCCUCCUACAGCAGCUGCCUGGGUCCAUGGGUCCCUGUCACAGCACAAGUGCAGCUCAAGGUCCCAGGCUCCAACAAAGAGUCUGAAAAAAGAAUCAAGUGGCCUCUAAUCAUUCAGUCCAGACAUGGGCCCUGACUGAGGAAAAUUAGCACCAGCCACAAGCAAAACCCACUGGAAGGAGUGAAGGAUAGUGUAAUUGACUCCUUCUGGCCUCAGUUUCCUCGUGGAAAAUGGAACAAGAAUGGUUCUUAAUCUGGUCUGGGCUCAAACCUGACUCUGCCCUUUCAGCUGUGACCUUUAGGUCAGCCCCUUCCUUGCUCUGAGUCUCAUACCCUUCACUGGUCUCUGAGUAGCAGAUAAGGAGAUGUAAGCAAAAGGGCACACGGAAGCUACAAGCCAAGAGCCAUGUGGAGGCAUGGAACACUCUAGAACAGAGCACACAUCUCAGUGCUCAUUGCCUAAAGCAGCAGUGUGCUUCAGAUGAUGAAAAACUAUCUGAGGAGACUUAGCGAGAUGUGUGGCUUCAAUUCCAGGGUGUGGUUGAGCUCCUCCCCAUAUCAUUCUUCUUCCUCUGGGAGCCAAUUGCUAUCUAUCUACAGAAUAAAGGAGACAUUGAUAAGACUGACUGCAACCCAGUUCACCUGCUCAGAAGCUGGUAAUCAAAAAUGCCAAUGGACACAGACAAAAAUAGGCCCAAGAAAAGCCUUCUCUCCCUAGCCAAAGGACCGUGAAAGCAAAGACUGAGUGAGCAGCCUGGCUUCUGGACUCAUCUGGCGUUCCCACCACUCUUAUGCAACUAAUACUCAAGCCCUAGACAGUGCAUUAAGGUAAGAAAAGGAAAUAGAAGGCAUGCAUAUUAGAAGAAUAAAACUAUUUGCAGAUGACAUGAUGACCUAUGUAGAAAA